Molecule: ribosomal RNA, 726 nt
Filed under: uncultured bacterium
Lineage: Bacteria
Description: bacterial SSU rRNA
Rfam family: Bacterial small subunit ribosomal RNA
Source: RNAcentral
GGUAGUCCACGCCGUAAACGAUGUCGACUUGGAGGUUGUGCCCUUGAGGCGUGGCUUCCGGAGCUAACGCGUUAAGUCGACCGCCUGGGGAGUACGGCCGCAAGGUUAAAACUCAAAUGAAUUGACGGGGGCCCGCACAAGCGGUGGAGCAUGUGGUUUAAUUCGAUGCAACGCGAAGAACCUUACCUACUCUUGACAUCCAGAGAACUUAGCAGAGAUGCUUUGGUGCCUUCGGGAACUCUGAGACAGGUGCUGCAUGGCUGUCGUCAGCUCGUGUUGUGAAAUGUUGGGUUAAGUCCCGCAACGAGCGCAACCCUUAUCCUUUGUUGCCAGCGGUUAGGCCGGGAACUCAAAGGAGACUGCCAGUGAUAAACUGGAGGAAGGUGGGGAUGACGUCAAGUCAUCAUGGCCCUUACGAGUAGGGCUACACACGUGCUACAAUGGCGCAUACAAAGAGAAGCGACCUCGCGAGAGCAAGCGGACCUCAUAAAGUGCGUCGUAGUCCGGAUUGGAGUCUGCAACUCGACUCCAUGAAGUCGGAAUCGCUAGUAAUCGUAGAUCGGAAUGCUACGGUGAAUACGUUCCCGGGCCUUGUACACACCGCCCGUCACACCAUGGGAGUGGGUUGCAAAAGAAGUAGGUAGCUUAACCUUCGGGAGGGCGCUUACCACUUUGUGAUUCAUGACUGGGGUGAAGUCGUAACAAGGUAACCGUAGGGGAACCUGC